AUCUUAUCCAGAGAGGUGGAGGGACUGGCCCAUUGAAACCUCAGCAACAGGCAUAAUUGCACUGUGCUAAUUCCAGAGCGUAACGCUUGAAGAUAAGAA
RNAcentral lists this non-coding RNA (99 nucleotides) under Virgibacillus pantothenticus. RNAcentral's name for it is "SAM-I sequence". It matches the Rfam family "SAM riboswitch aptamer (S box leader)". Rfam says of the family: The SAM riboswitch is found upstream of a number of genes which code for proteins involved in methionine or cysteine biosynthesis in Gram-positive bacteria. The SAM riboswitch acts at the level of transcription termination control. Lineage: Bacteria; Bacillati; Bacillota; Bacilli; Caryophanales; Bacillaceae. The record is from Rfam by way of RNAcentral.